Molecule: ribosomal RNA, 254 nt
Filed under: uncultured bacterium
Lineage: Bacteria
Description: partial 16S ribosomal RNA
Rfam family: Bacterial small subunit ribosomal RNA
Source: RNAcentral
CACGUAGGAGGCGAGCGUUAUCCGGAUUCACUGGGCGUAAAGCGCGUGCAGGCGGCUUGGUAAGUUGGGCGUGAAAGCUCCCGGCUCAACUGGGAGAGGUCGUUCAAUACUACCAAACUAGAGAGUAGAAGAGGAAGAUGGAAUUCCCGGUGUAGUGGUGAAAUGCGUAGAUAUCGGGAGGAACACCAGUGGCGAAGGCGACUACCUGGCCUGUUUCUUGACGCUGAGGCGCGAAAGCUAGGGGAGCAAACGGG